RNAcentral lists this ribosomal RNA (214 nucleotides) under uncultured bacterium. RNAcentral's name for it is "partial 16S ribosomal RNA". It matches the Rfam family "Bacterial small subunit ribosomal RNA", at positions 1287 to 1500 of the family's 1533-position model. The record is from RNAcentral.
CCCAGUUCGGAUUGUAGUCUGCAACCCGACUACAUGAAGCUGGAAUCGCUAGUAAUCGCGGAUCAGAAUGCCGCGGUGAAUACGUUCCCGGGUCUUGUACACACCGCCCGUCACACCAUGGGAGUCGAUAACGCCCGAAGUCAGUGACCUAACCGAGAGGGAGGAGCUGCCGAAGGCGGGAUGGAUAACUGGGGUGAAGUCGUAACAAGGUACC